UUUUAGUAAAUGUUGUGCAUGCCUUGGGUUCAGAGUGUUGGUUUGCUCAUACCAAACUUGUAUUUAAUACAACCCCACUGCAUUCAAAGCUCCACAAAGAGAGAGAAAUGGUUAGUGCAUCAGAGGAAGAGAAGGUGGGAAGCACCUAGAGAGAGAUAGAAGUUGCAGUUGUAGAUGCAAGAAACCCUAGCGAGAGAGAGAGAGUGUGAGUGAGAGAAGGUGGGAUUAAUUGGUUUGUGUUUUUGGAAGGAAAAGAUCAGAGAGAGUGAGAGAAUGGAAGGUGAAGGCAAAGAAGAUGGAUCCAUGGCCAUCAACACAUGGCUCAGUUGUCCCUGCCUUGAAUACUUUCUGAGAGCUGCUCUUAACUGCUUCGGUCUUUCUUCUUCUUCAGAUUCAGAUGGGAAUCAGAAAGUAGUUUCAGCUGAGGGAGAAAAAGAUCCUAAAACCACCACUGACACAAGCGGUGUUAUUUCAGUGCUUUCAAGAAGGCCUAAAAGGCCCGGAGUGAACCCGGGACGAGGUGGGCAGAUAAACUAAGUACUUAUCGUUAUAUGUGUGAAGAUUUCUGCAAGCUUUUCUUUCUGUUUAAUAGGGUUUAAUCUUUUGGAAUUGGACCAUAGAAGAUUUGAGUUUUCAGCCUUUUUUUUCUUUUUCUUUUUUUAAAUUUUUUGAGCCAAUGUAAAGAUAGUGGUUAUGAAAAUGAAACCACGUAAAAGACUUGGGGGAGUAGAAUGUAAAGAUCUGAGCAAAGUUCACC
Molecule: long non-coding RNA, 757 nt
Organism: Amborella trichopoda
Lineage: Eukaryota; Viridiplantae; Streptophyta; Magnoliopsida; Amborellales; Amborellaceae
Source: RefSeq, a predicted model, not a curated record